Molecule: ribosomal RNA, 513 nt
Filed under: Paraphaenops fadriquei
Lineage: Eukaryota; Metazoa; Arthropoda; Insecta; Coleoptera; Carabidae
Description: partial 16S ribosomal RNA
Rfam family: Bacterial large subunit ribosomal RNA
Source: RNAcentral
UUAAAUGGCUGCAGUAAUUUGACUGUACAAAGGUAGCAUAAUCAUUAGUUUUUUAAUUAAAAGCUUGUAUGAAAGGUUGGACGAAGUAGAAUCUGUCUCUUUUUAAUAUUAUUAGAAUUUAAUUUUUAAGUUAAAAAGCUUAAAUUUGUAUAAAAGACGAGAAGACCCUAUAGAGUUUUAUAAUUUUUAUUUUAUAAUUAAUUUAGAUUUAUUUAUUUUAUUUUAUAUAAAUUAUUUUAUUGGGGUAAUAUAAAGAUUAAAAAAAUUCUUUUUUUUAUUAGCCAUUAAUUUAUGAAAUUUUUAUGAUCCAUUGAUUUUGAUUAUAAGAUUAAAUUACCUUAGGGAUAACAGCGUAAUUUUUUUAGAGAGUUCUUAUCGAUAAAAAAGUUUGCGACCUCGAUGUUGGAUUAAAGAUUAAUUUAGGUGUAGAAGUUUAAAUUUUUGGUCUGUUCGACCAUUGAAUCUUUACAUGAUCUGAGUUCAAACCGGUGUAAGCCAGGUCGGUUUCUAUCU